GGGCCAAUCGUAUAGUGGCUUAUUAUGCUGUCUUAGGGUUUCACGGCUGCGAGGUUGCAACCAGGAUUCUAAGUUGACAGAGGUCCCCGGUUCGAUUCCGGGUUGGCCCC
RNAcentral lists this transfer RNA (110 nucleotides) under Ustilago sp. UG-2017a. RNAcentral's name for it is "transfer RNA-Pseudo(AGG)". The record is from RNAcentral. Lineage: Eukaryota; Fungi; Basidiomycota; Ustilaginomycetes; Ustilaginales; Ustilaginaceae.